UACAGGAGGGUGCAAGCGUUAAUCGGAUUUACUGGGCGUAAAGCGCGCGUAGGCGGCCUAAUUAAGUCAAAUGUGAAAUCCCCGAAGCCUUAAGCUUGGGAAUUCGCAUUCGAGUACUGGUUAGCGUAGAGUGGUGGGAGAGGAUGGUAGAAUUCCAGGUGUAGCGGUAGAAAUGCGUAGAGAUCUGGAGGAAUACCGAUGGCGAAGGCAGCCAUCUGGCCUAACACUGACGCUGAGGUGCGAAAGCAUGGGGAGACAAACAGGG
Molecule: ribosomal RNA, 265 nt
Filed under: uncultured bacterium
Lineage: Bacteria
Description: partial 16S ribosomal RNA
Rfam family: Bacterial small subunit ribosomal RNA
Source: RNAcentral